This 66-nucleotide transfer RNA is filed under the name Cherax dispar. Its description in RNAcentral is "tRNA-Phe". Lineage: Eukaryota; Metazoa; Arthropoda; Malacostraca; Decapoda; Parastacidae. The record is from RNAcentral.
CUUAUGUAUUUUAAAGUUAGAAUAUUGCAUUGAAGCUGCAAUGGUGGUUGGUUUGCCUGUAAGUAA